UCAGUAAGCUUGUCAAGCUGUAGAGUUAAGGUUUUCCAAUAACUGUGAAUUUCCUGGUUCUUGCUUGAAAACUUACCAUGCCUUGGGCAAAAGGCAUCUUAUUUUUCACAAUGGCUGUGGUGACACUGAGUUCUUCUAUGAGGACUGAUCCUGAGGACUUUUCUGAAGUAGGUGCUGCUUAUGGAGCAGUCUCUGAAAACAUGGUCCGUUUUGGCAAACUUUUAAUUGGUGGUCAAGGAGAGGAGUCACCAAUGCCCUUGUCUGAGAUGCCAGUUAGCUGUGGUUCCUCACUGAAGCGGGCAUGCAGGGAUGUCUCUUGUUGCUCCAUACCGGGGCUGUCAUGUCAGACAACAGGGUGGAAGUUAUAUUCUGCCGCUCAUUAUAAUGGGAGCUCCAGUGCAAGUGUCUUGCCCUGUGAGUCCUCUCCUCCCUACCGUGUCCUGCUUCUCCUCUGGCAUGAUUGUCACACUUGGCAUCAGAGCCAAUUGU
Molecule: long non-coding RNA, 489 nt
Organism: Sinocyclocheilus anshuiensis
Lineage: Eukaryota; Metazoa; Chordata; Actinopteri; Cypriniformes; Cyprinidae
Exons: 3
Source: RefSeq, a predicted model, not a curated record